AACGAACGCUGGCGGCAUGCCUAACACAUGCAAGUCGAACGAGACCUUCGGGUCUAGUGGCGCACGGGUGCGUAACGCGUGGGAACCUGCUCUUAGGUUCGGAAUAACUCCCCGAAAGGGGUGCUAAUACCGGAUAAUGUCUUCGGACCAAAGAUUUAUCGCCUUUGGAUGGGCCCGCGUUGGAUUAGCUAGUUGGUAGGGUAAAAGCCUACCAAGGCGACGAUCCAUAGCUGGUCUGAGAGGAUGAUCAGCCACACUGGGACUGAGACACGGCCCAGACUCCGACGGGAGGAAGCAGAAGGGAAUAUUGGACAAUGGGCGAAAGCCUGAUCCAGCAAUGCCGCGUGAGUGAUGAAGGCCUUAGGGUUGUAAAGCUCUUUUACCCGGGAUGAUAAUGACAGUACCGGGAGAAUAAGCUCCGGCUAACUCCGUG
Molecule: ribosomal RNA, 433 nt
Filed under: uncultured bacterium
Lineage: Bacteria
Description: partial 16S ribosomal RNA
Rfam family: Bacterial small subunit ribosomal RNA
Source: RNAcentral